UGCGCGUGGUCCCGAAGCCGCGGAGAGUCCAGCAGCAGCGACGAGGCGCGAGUGCGCGCUCAUGAUCCGGCACACGGCGCGGCGCGCGCGACCAGCAUCCCGUAUCCAGGCUUAACCAUCUUUUCUUCUGGCAGCUGUUACCAUUCCUACAUCUACCAACAGCAUUUCUCAGAACAAGAUCAAUAAAACUGAACUUUGGAUUCAUCAUGAAAGUGACAGAAGAAUGAAGAGUGCGUUUCCUGCUGAUGUGCUGGCCCAGAUUGAAGGAGAAGACGUCCAAGAAUUUUCUGCUGAACAAGAUGGAGGAGGAACUAAGAAGAGAAAGACUAGAGAAAGUCAGCAAGAACAGUGGAAGAUGGAAAGGAACAAACUGAUUUAUAGUUGAAAAGCUGG
Molecule: long non-coding RNA, 393 nt
Organism: Pygocentrus nattereri (red-bellied piranha)
Lineage: Eukaryota; Metazoa; Chordata; Actinopteri; Characiformes; Serrasalmidae
Exons: 4
Source: RefSeq, a predicted model, not a curated record